AUUGAACGCUGGCGGCAGGCCUAACACAUGCAAGUCGAGCGGAUGAAGGGAGCUUGCUCCUGGAUUCAGCGGCGGACGGGUGAGUAAUGCCUAGGAAUCUGCCUGGUAGUGGGGGAUAACGUCCGGAAACGGGCGCUAAUACCGCAUACGUCCUGAUGGAGAAAGUGGGGGAUCUUCGGACCUCACGCUAUCAGAUGAGCCUAGGUCGGAUUAGCUAGUUGGUGAGGUAAAGGCCUACCAAGGCGACGAUCCGUAACUGGUCUGAGAGGAUGAUCAGUCACACUGGAACUGAGACACGGUCCAGACUCCUACGGGAGGCAGCAGUGGGGAAUAUUGGACAAUGGGCGAAAGCCUGAUCCAGCCAUGCCGCGUGUGUGAAGAAGGUCUUCGGAUUGUAAAGCACUUUAAGUUGGGAGGAAGGGAAGUAAGUUAAUACCUUGCUGUUUUGACGUUACCAACAGAAUAAGCACCGGCUAACUUCGUG
This 484-nucleotide ribosomal RNA is filed under the name uncultured bacterium. RNAcentral's name for it is "partial 16S ribosomal RNA". It matches the Rfam family "Bacterial small subunit ribosomal RNA", at positions 30 to 507 of the family's 1533-position model. The record is from RNAcentral.